RNAcentral lists this long non-coding RNA (917 nucleotides) under Mytilus galloprovincialis (Mediterranean mussel). The record is from RNAcentral. Lineage: Eukaryota; Metazoa; Mollusca; Bivalvia; Mytilida; Mytilidae.
UUUUAAUAGUGUAAAUGCAUUCUCAAGUUCUUUGUUAUUACACUGACUGUGUACAAUGCGGUUUGACUGUUCAUAUCAUCCUACUACAAUCUGAAGCCUAAAUAGCAGUUGCGGAUCCAGGGGUUGGGGGCUGGAGGAUGUUCCGUGGGUUGGAACCCCUUUUUUGGACGAUCAAUGCAUUUAAAUGCUUUUAUCCUGGGUUGAGACCCACUUUUUUAAAAUGACAGAAUCCGCCUCUGAAUAAGUAGCGUAGAGUUUGUUUUUGUUUUGAAUGUACAAUGAUCUCUCAAAUCUAUUAUCGUUCACUUGAAUAUAUCCAAAUAAACAUUAAAACUGAAGUAGUCUUUUUGAAAGAUUCUACCAUUUAUAAUUGCGAGUUUGUUCAAAUUGAUCAUAUGAUUUUCUGGUAGCUGGCAUGCACGGUCAAUAUUACUUAAUAAAAGCCUAUGUUUGAAAAGUUUGGUUAUCCACAUUUAGUUACAUUUGUUUUUGUAUAAACGAUUUUACCAGUAAAACAUCUUCGGCAAACAACGGACAACUGAUAAAAAUCUUUCGGUUUUAUGCAUUCAUUUUUACCUUCAAUAAGAACAAUGAUCUUAAAAUGAGUGUAUAUAGUUUGUUCAAAGCAUGAUGCAAUGUUGUUCAUAAUUGCAUGAUGCAAUGCUGUUCAUAGUUAGGAAAAUAAAACAAAAUUUCCCGUUGAUGUGCGCCGGAGCUCUAGGAAUAAAUUGAUUAAAAAAUAAGGUAAAGGUAAGGUAUACAUACAUUUUUUAAAUUUUAUUUGAACAGGACAAAGUGUUACGUUCAACACCAGAGGUUAAAUUAUAGUUAAAUUAUAAACAUUUUGAACAAUACAGUAAAUCACUUUUGACAAUUUUAUUUACAAAACGAGUUUCAGUUACUUUUGUGCCACUUAA